RNAcentral lists this ribosomal RNA (440 nucleotides) under uncultured Glomeromycotina. RNAcentral's name for it is "SSU rRNA". It matches the Rfam family "Eukaryotic small subunit ribosomal RNA", at positions 569 to 1014 of the family's 1831-position model. Lineage: Eukaryota; Fungi; Glomeromycota. The record is from RNAcentral.
AGCAGCCGCGGUAAUUCCAGCUCCAAUAGCGUAUAUUAAAGUUGUUGCAGUUAAAAAGCUCGUAGUUGAAUUUCGGGAUCAGUACGCUGGUCGUGCCCUUGGUAUGUACUGGUGUUACUGGUUCCUACCUUCUGACGAACCGUCAUGUCAUUAAUUUGGUGUGGCGGGGAAUCAGGACUGUUACUUUGAAAAAUUAGAGUGUUUAAAGCAGGCUCGCGCUUGAAUACAUUAGCAUGGAAUAAUGAAAUAGGACGUUCGAUCCUAUUUUGUUGGUUUCUAGGAUUGACGUAAUGAUUAAUAGGGAUAGUUGGGGGCAUUAGUAUUCAAUUGUCAGAGGUGAAAUUCUUGGAUUUAUUGAAGACUAACUACUGCGAAAGCAUUUGCCAAGGAUGUUUUCAUUAAUCAAGAACGAAAGUUAGGGGAUCGAAGACGAUCAGAUA